AGGGAAUAGAUACCCUGGUAGUCCAUGCUGUAAACGAUGGAUGCUAGCUGUGAUGCGUAAUCGACCCGCGUCGUAGCGAAGCUAACGCGUUAAGCAUCCCGCCUGUGGAGUACGGCCGCAAGGCUAAAAACAUAAAGGAAUUGACGGGGACCCGCACAAGCGGUGGAGCGUGUUGUUUAAUUCGAUGGUAAGCGAAGAACCUUACCCAGGUUUGACAUCCUUGGAAGUUCUGCGAAAGCAGAGUGUGCCUUGGGAACCAAGUGACAGGUGAUGCAUGGCCGUCUUCAGCUCGUGUCGUGAGACGUUAGGUUAAGUCCUUCAACGAGCGCAACCCUUAUAGUUAGUUGUAUUUUCUAGCUAGACUGCCUGGUAACAGGGA
RNAcentral lists this ribosomal RNA (379 nucleotides) under uncultured bacterium. Its description in RNAcentral is "bacterial SSU rRNA". It matches the Rfam family "Bacterial small subunit ribosomal RNA", at positions 773 to 1167 of the family's 1533-position model. The record is from RNAcentral.